GUGCCAGCAGCCGCGGUAAUACCGGCAGCACGAGUGAUGGCCGAUAUUAUUGGGCCUAAAGCGUCCGUAGCUGGCCGGACAAGUCCGUUGGGAAAUCCACCCGCUUAACGGGUGGGCGUCCAGCGGAAACUGUCCGGCUUGGAGCCGGAAGACCUGAGGGGUACGUCCGGGGUAGGAGUGAAAUCCUGUAAUCCUGCACGGACCACCGAUGGCGAAAGCACUUCGAGAAAACGGAUCCGACAGUGAGGGACGAAAGCCAGGGUCUCCAACCGGAUUAGAUACCCCGGUAUCC
This 292-nucleotide ribosomal RNA is filed under the name uncultured bacterium. RNAcentral's name for it is "partial 16S ribosomal RNA". It matches the Rfam family "Archaeal small subunit ribosomal RNA", at positions 455 to 746 of the family's 1478-position model. The record is from RNAcentral.